GAUGAACGCUGGCGGCGUGCCUAAUACAUGCAAGUCGAGCGAACAGACGAGGAGCUUGCUCCUCUGACGUUAGCGGCGGACGGGUGAGUAACACGUGGAUAACCUACCUAUAAGACUGGGAUAACUUCGGGACACCGGAGCUAAUACCGGAUAAUAUAUUGAACCGCAUGGUUCAAUAGUGAAAGACGGUUUUGCUGGCACUUCUAGAUGGAUCCGCGCCGCAUUAGCUAGUUGGUAAGGUAACGGCUUACCAAGGCAACGAUGCGUAGCCGACGUGAGGGGGUGGUCGGCGACACUGGAAGUGAGGCAGGGACCAGAGUCCUACGGGAGGCAGCAGUAGGGAAGCUUCCGCAAUGGGCGAGAGCCUGACGGAGCAACGCGGCGUGAGAGAUGAAGGUGUUGGGAGCGUAAAACUGUGUUAUUAGGGAUGAACAAAUGUGUAAGUAGAUGUGGACGUCGUGACGGUACCUAAUCAGAAAGCCACGGCUAACUACGUG
This 497-nucleotide ribosomal RNA is filed under the name uncultured bacterium. RNAcentral describes it as "partial 16S ribosomal RNA". It matches the Rfam family "Bacterial small subunit ribosomal RNA", at positions 28 to 507 of the family's 1533-position model. The record is from RNAcentral.